GAUCAAUUGUUCUCCAUGUGCCCUGAAGGUAGCACAAGAAGAAAUUGGCUUCAUUUGCAUCAAAGGGGAUUUAGGUUAGUCAUUAGGAAAACUUUCUAAUGAUAAGGAUAGUUAAGCAGUGGAAUAAGUUACCAAGGGAGGUUGUGGAAUCUCUGUCAUUGGAGGUCUUCAUGAAUACGUUAGACAAACACCUAUCAAGGAUGAUCUAGGUGUACUUGGUGCUGUUUCAGAGCAGCGAGAUGGACUAGAUGACCUCUCAAAGUCGCUUCCACUCCAACAUUUCUAUGAUGGCCAAAGUCCUCUUGCUUCUCAGAGGUUCCCUCUGACACGGCCCCUUGCUGCUGAGAGACUCCACACUGCUCCAUGCAUCCCGCCCUCAUUCUGGAAAGACCAGAACAAAGAGAUU
Molecule: long non-coding RNA, 406 nt
Filed under: Chrysemys picta bellii (western painted turtle)
Lineage: Eukaryota; Metazoa; Chordata; Testudines; Emydidae
Description: lncRNA (ENSCPBG00000018715.1)
Source: RNAcentral